AACGAACGCUGGCGGCAUGCCUAACACAUGCAAGUCGAACGAAGGCUUCGGCCUUAGUGGCGCACGGGUGCGUAACGCGUGGGAAUCUGCCCUUUGGUUCGGAAUAACAGCUGGAAACGGCUGCUAAUACCGGAUGAUGACGAAAGUCCAAAGAUUUAUCGCCAGAGGAUGAGCCCGCGUUGGAUUAGGUAGUUGGUGGGGUAAAGGCCUACCAAGCCGACGAUCCAUAGCUGGUCUGAGAGGAUGAUCAGCCACACUGGGACUGAGACACGGCCCAGACUCCUACGGGAGGCAGCAGUGGGGAAUAUUGGACAAUGGGCGAAAGCCUGAUCCAGCAAUGCCGCGUGAGUGAUGAAGGCCCUAGGGUUGUAAAGCUCUUUUACCCGGGAAGAUAAUGACUGUACCGGGAGAAUAAGCCCCGGCUAACUCCGUGCCAGCAGCCGCGGUAAUACGGAGGGGGCUAGCGUUGUUCGGAAUUACUGGGCGUAAAGCGCACGUAGGCGGCUUUGUAAGUCAGAGGUGAAAGCCUGGAGCUCAACUCCAGAACUGCCUUUGAGACUGCAUCGCUUGAAUCCAGGAGAGGUCAGUGGAAUUCCGAGUGUAGAGGUGAAAUUCGUAGAUAUUCGGAAGAACACCAGUGGCGAAGGCGGCUGACUGGAC
RNAcentral lists this ribosomal RNA (660 nucleotides) under Sphingomonas sanguinis. RNAcentral's name for it is "bacterial SSU rRNA". It matches the Rfam family "Bacterial small subunit ribosomal RNA", at positions 28 to 734 of the family's 1533-position model. The record is from RNAcentral. Lineage: Bacteria; Pseudomonadati; Pseudomonadota; Alphaproteobacteria; Sphingomonadales; Sphingomonadaceae.